CCUACGGGAGGCAGCAGUGGGGAAUUUUGGACAAUGGGCGCAAGCCUGAUCCAGCCAUGCCGCGUGCGGGAAGAAGGCCUUCGGGUUGUAAACCGCUUUUGUCAGGGAAGAAAUCCUUUGAGCUAAUACCUCGGGGGGAUGACGGUACCUGAAGAAUAAGCACCGGCUAACUACGUGCCAGCAGCCGCGGUAAUACGUAGGGUGCAAGCGUUAAUCGGAAUUACUGGGCGUAAAGCGUGCGCAGGCGGUUAUGUAAGACAGGUGUGAAAUCCCCGGGCUUAACCUGGGAACUGCACUUGUGACUGCAUAGCUUGAGUGCGGCAGAGGGGGAUGGAAUUCCGCGUGUAGCAGUGAAAUGCGUAGAUAUGCGGAGGAACACCGAUGGCGAAGGCAAUCCCCUGGGCCUGCACUGACGCUCAUGCACGAAAGCGUGGGGAGCAAACAGGAUUAGAUACCCUGGUAGUCCACGCCCUAAACGAUGUCAACUGGUUGUUGGACGGCUUGCUGUUCAGUACGUAGCUAACGCGUGAAGUUGACCGCCUGGGGUAGUACGGCCGCGAAGGUUGAAACUCGAAUUGAUUGACGGCUUGAGACGNGCGACGGCGCGACGAGGGAGGAGG
This 620-nucleotide ribosomal RNA is filed under the name uncultured bacterium. Its description in RNAcentral is "bacterial SSU rRNA". It matches the Rfam family "Bacterial small subunit ribosomal RNA", at positions 338 to 951 of the family's 1533-position model. The record is from RNAcentral.